UACGUAGGGUGCGAGCGUUGUCCGGAAUUAUUGGGCGUAAAGGGCUCGUAGGCGGUCUGUUGCGUCAGGAGUGAAAACUCGGGGCUUAACCCCGAGCCUGCUUCUGAUACGGGCAGACUAGAGGUAUGCAGGGGAGAACGGAAUUCCUGGUGUAGCGGUGAAAUGCGCAGAUAUCAGGAGGAACACCGGUGGCGAAGGCGGCAUCCUGGACCGACACUGACGCUGAGGAGCGAAAGCCAGGGGAGCAAACGGG
This 253-nucleotide ribosomal RNA is filed under the name uncultured bacterium. RNAcentral describes it as "partial 16S ribosomal RNA". It matches the Rfam family "Bacterial small subunit ribosomal RNA", at positions 524 to 776 of the family's 1533-position model. The record is from RNAcentral.